RNAcentral lists this ribosomal RNA (497 nucleotides) under uncultured bacterium. RNAcentral's name for it is "partial 16S ribosomal RNA". It matches the Rfam family "Bacterial small subunit ribosomal RNA", at positions 28 to 507 of the family's 1533-position model. The record is from RNAcentral.
GACGAACGCUGGCGGCGUGCCUAAUACAUGCAAGUUGAGCGAUGAAGAUUGGUGCUUGCACCAAUUUGAAGAGCAGCGAACGGGUGAGUAACGCGUAGGGAAUCUGCCUUUGAGCGGGGGACAACAUUUGGAAACGAAUGCUAAUACCGCAUAACAACUUUAAACAUAAGUUUUAAGUUUGAAAGAUGCAAUUGCAUCACUCAAAGAUGAUCCCGCGUUGUAUUAGCUAGUUGGUGAGGUAAAGGCUCACCAAGGCGAUGAUACAUAGCCGACCUGAGAGGGUGAUCGGCCACAUUGGGACUGAGACACGGCCCAAACUCCUACGGGAGGCAGCAGUAGGGAAUCUUCGGCAAUGGACGAAAGUCUGACCGAGCAACGCCGCGUGAGUGAAGAAGGUUUUCGGAUCGUAAAACUCUGUUGGUAGAGAAGAACGUUGGUGAGAGUGGAAAGCUCAUCAAGUGACGGUAACUACCCAGAAAGGGACGGCUAACUACGUG